AGCAGUAGGUGAAUCUUCGGCAAUGGGCGAAAGCCUGACCGAGCAACGCCGCGUGAACGAAGAAAUACUUCGGUAUGUAAAGUUCUUUUAUAAGGGAAGAAAAGACAGAUUGACGGUACCUUAUGAAUAAGCUCCGGCUAACUACGUGCCAGCAGCCGCGGUAAUACGUAGGGAGCGAGCGUUAUCCGGAUUUAUUGGGCGUAAAGGGUGCGUAGAUGGCACAUUAAGUUUCUUGCUAAAAUGCUGGGCUCAACCCAGUAGUGCAAGGGAUACUGAUGAGCUAGAGUAUGGAAGAGGCAAGUGGAACUCCAUGUGUAGCGGUGAAAU
RNAcentral lists this ribosomal RNA (327 nucleotides) under uncultured bacterium. RNAcentral's name for it is "bacterial SSU rRNA". It matches the Rfam family "Bacterial small subunit ribosomal RNA", at positions 350 to 687 of the family's 1533-position model. The record is from RNAcentral.